Molecule: non-coding RNA, 737 nt
Organism: Arachis ipaensis
Lineage: Eukaryota; Viridiplantae; Streptophyta; Magnoliopsida; Fabales; Fabaceae
Source: RefSeq, a predicted model, not a curated record
GUGUGAAAUUCUUCAUCUCUUGAAAACCCUAAUUCUUCGAAAGUUUCUGAUUUUUGUCCAUAACUAGAAAUAUCAAUCUCACUUAUUUAUGGAAGAAGAUCCAAUUUUUCCAAAAUUGCAGGAUACAGCUUUGAUUUAUGGCGACACGAAAUAGGACUUAUUCGAAUCAGAUUCAAGGGUAGAUCUUGCAGCUUGGAGUUAUGUCUGCUUAUGGCCAUCAAAUGGAGAAAAACUAUUCUGCAAGGAGUCUCUUUGGUGAUUCUGAGUUGAGGAGCAGUUAUGUCUUGGAAUCAAGAUUCUACAUCACUUCUUUUGCAGUAACAAUCUUGAUUACCUCGCUCGCCACUAUUGGCCUUCUAAUGAUUACUAUGCUGGUUGUUCUGAUAUUUUGCUAUUGAAUCCUAAUUCAUCCAAUCUAUAUCGUAGGUUUCAUGAUAACAACAUUGUUAAUUGUAUGUUAGAGUUGCAAUUAAAAGGCAAUCUUGUUCUAGGAUGUUGCAAUGGAUGGUGGUGAGAUUGUUGGUAAUGUUUCACACAUAUUUGCUGCUGGCACUGCUAGUUUGGAGCAUAAAGUCAUGGAGUUGCAGAGUAGAACUGACAUGUUAGAAAUUCAUCCAAAUGUAGUUCCAGAAAUUGAGUGCAACACGAGAUUUUCAAUGUAUUGUUUGUUAUAUCGUAUUUGCAUUGUUGAUUUUGGUCAUAGGUUGCAACUGCUUCUUUGUAACUGAUAUAUAUAA